Molecule: unclassified non-coding RNA, 408 nt
Filed under: Melitaea cinxia (Glanville fritillary)
Lineage: Eukaryota; Metazoa; Arthropoda; Insecta; Lepidoptera; Nymphalidae
Description: misc RNA ENSMCXG00005011479.1
Source: RNAcentral
AUUUGUAUAAACAUAAAUAUCCACUCCGAGCGGGAAUACAACCCGCGACCGUCGGUGUUUAGGCGCCGCCGACACGGCACAUGCACCAUUAUAUCAAAGCGGUCGUCAAACAGCAAAAGGUAACUGCUGUAAAUUGUUGAGAAAUUCCCUCGAGUGUUUAUGGGCUCCAUCAUCAAACCUGGUCCUGCGACACAGAUGACCACACAGCAGGUAAUUGCUAUAAGUCGUUGAAAAGUUCUCUCGACUAUCUUUCGUCUCCAUCAUCAGACUGUAAUGGCACUUGUAACUCAUAUAGGUGCAAAGUUCUCAUCAAUAGAAACGAAUUAAGUUCAAACAGCAGGUAAUUGCUAUAAGUCGUUGAAGAGUUCCCUCGACUAUCUUUCUUCUCCAUCAUCAGAUCGACUCCAA